RNAcentral lists this transfer RNA (90 nucleotides) under Streptococcus agalactiae. RNAcentral's name for it is "tRNA-Ser". It matches the Rfam family "tRNA". From Rfam's summary of the family: Transfer RNA (tRNA) molecules are approximately 80 nucleotides in length. Their secondary structure includes four short double-helical elements and three loops (D, anti-codon, and T loops). The record is from RNAcentral. Lineage: Bacteria; Bacillati; Bacillota; Bacilli; Lactobacillales; Streptococcaceae. RNAcentral also lists the same sequence under 1 other name.
GGAGGAUUACCCAAGGCCGGCUGAAGGGAACGGUCUUGAAAACCGUCAGGCGUGUAAAAGCGUGCGUGGGUUCGAAUCCCACAUCCUCCU